GGUGGGCAUGUGAUGAAUCUCAUUUUGUAAAUGGGUAAUUUGCGUCUGAAUUAAAUUGAUGCUUUAUCACCUUGGAGAACUGAUGCCUACU
Molecule: small nucleolar RNA, 91 nt
Organism: Lupinus angustifolius (narrow-leaved blue lupine)
Lineage: Eukaryota; Viridiplantae; Streptophyta; Magnoliopsida; Fabales; Fabaceae
Source: Rfam